UGUGGGAUUAUUCAGUGUGGGAUUAUUCAGUGUGGGAUUAGUCAGCACAUGUGGGCGUAUGUGAUUAUUCAGUGUGGGAUUAUUCAGUGUGGGAUUAGUCAGCACGUAUGGACGUAUGUGAUUAUUCAGUGUGGGAUUAUUCAGUGUGGGAUUAUUCAGUGUGGGAUUAGUCAGCAGGUAUGGAUGUACGUGAUAGUCAGCACAUAUGUGAUUAGUCAGCGUUCGAUUAGUCAGCGUGGUCAUGUGCAAUUAAUCAGUGUGGAUGUGUGUUCGGUCAGCGUGGAUGUGUGUGAUUAGUCAGUGAGGUGUGAUGCAUGUGGUGAAUGCUGGUUUGGUUUACAGG
Molecule: long non-coding RNA, 343 nt
Organism: Ictalurus punctatus (channel catfish)
Lineage: Eukaryota; Metazoa; Chordata; Actinopteri; Siluriformes; Ictaluridae
Exons: 2
Source: RefSeq, a predicted model, not a curated record